This 2903-nucleotide ribosomal RNA is filed under the name Escherichia coli. Its description in RNAcentral is "23S ribosomal RNA". It matches the Rfam family "Bacterial large subunit ribosomal RNA". The record is from RNAcentral. Lineage: Bacteria; Pseudomonadati; Pseudomonadota; Gammaproteobacteria; Enterobacterales; Enterobacteriaceae.
GGUUAAGCGACUAAGCGUACACGGUGGAUGCCCUGGCAGUCAGAGGCGAUGAAGGACGUGCUAAUCUGCGAUAAGCGUCGGUAAGGUGAUAUGAACCGUUAUAACCGGCGAUUUCCGAAUGGGGAAACCCAGUGUGUUUCGACACACUAUCAUUAACUGAAUCCAUAGGUUAAUGAGGCGAACCGGGGGAACUGAAACAUCUAAGUACCCCGAGGAAAAGAAAUCAACCGAGAUUCCCCCAGUAGCGGCGAGCGAACGGGGAGCAGCCCAGAGCCUGAAUCAGUGUGUGUGUUAGUGGAAGCGUCUGGAAAGGCGCGCGAUACAGGGUGACAGCCCCGUACACAAAAAUGCACAUACUGUGAGCUCGAUGAGUAGGGCGGGACACGUGGUAUCCUGUCUGAAUAUGGGGGGACCAUCCUCCAAGGCUAAAUACUCCUGACUGACCGAUAGUGAACCAGUACCGUGAGGGAAAGGCGAAAAGAACCCCGGCGAGGGGAGUGAAAAAGAACCUGAAACCGUGUACGUACAAGCAGUGGGAGCCUCUUUUAUGGGGUGACUGCGUACCUUUUGUAUAAUGGGUCAGCGACUUAUAUUCUGUAGCAAGGUUAACCGAAUAGGGGAGCCGAAGGGAAACCGAGUCUUAACUGGGCGUUAAGUUGCAGGGUAUAGACCCGAAACCCGGUGAUCUAGCCAUGGGCAGGUUGAAGGUUGGGUAACACUAACUGGAGGACCGAACCGACUAAUGUUGAAAAAUUAGCGGAUGACUUGUGGCUGGGGGUGAAAGGCCAAUCAAACCGGGAGAUAGCUGGUUCUCCCCGAAAGCUAUUUAGGUAGCGCCUCGUGAAUUCAUCUCCGGGGGUAGAGCACUGUUUCGGCAAGGGGGUCAUCCCGACUUACCAACCCGAUGCAAACUGCGAAUACCGGAGAAUGUUAUCACGGGAGACACACGGCGGGUGCUAACGUCCGUCGUGAAGAGGGAAACAACCCAGACCGCCAGCUAAGGUCCCAAAGUCAUGGUUAAGUGGGAAACGAUGUGGGAAGGCCCAGACAGCCAGGAUGUUGGCUUAGAAGCAGCCAUCAUUUAAAGAAAGCGUAAUAGCUCACUGGUCGAGUCGGCCUGCGCGGAAGAUGUAACGGGGCUAAACCAUGCACCGAAGCUGCGGCAGCGACACUAUGUGUUGUUGGGUAGGGGAGCGUUCUGUAAGCCUGUGAAGGUGUACUGUGAGGUAUGCUGGAGGUAUCAGAAGUGCGAAUGCUGACAUAAGUAACGAUAAAGCGGGUGAAAAGCCCGCUCGCCGGAAGACCAAGGGUUCCUGUCCAACGUUAAUCGGGGCAGGGUGAGUCGACCCCUAAGGCGAGGCCGAAAGGCGUAGUCGAUGGGAAACAGGUUAAUAUUCCUGUACUUGGUGUUACUGCGAAGGGGGGACGGAGAAGGCUAUGUUGGCCGGGCGACGGUUGUCCCGGUUUAAGCGUGUAGGCUGGUUUUCCAGGCAAAUCCGGAAAAUCAAGGCUGAGGCGUGAUGACGAGGCACUACGGUGCUGAAGCAACAAAUGCCCUGCUUCCAGGAAAAGCCUCUAAGCAUCAGGUAACAUCAAAUCGUACCCCAAACCGACACAGGUGGUCAGGUAGAGAAUACCAAGGCGCUUGAGAGAACUCGGGUGAAGGAACUAGGCAAAAUGGUGCCGUAACUUCGGGAGAAGGCACGCUGAUAUGUAGGUGAAGUCCCUCGCGGAUGGAGCUGAAAUCAGUCGAAGAUACCAGCUGGCUGCAACUGUUUAUUAAAAACACAGCACUGUGCAAACACGAAAGUGGACGUAUACGGUGUGACGCCUGCCCGGUGCCGGAAGGUUAAUUGAUGGGGUCAGCGCAAGCGAAGCUCUUGAUCGAAGCCCCGGUAAACGGCGGCCGUAACUAUAACGGUCCUAAGGUAGCGAAAUUCCUUGUCGGGUAAGUUCCGACCUGCACGAAUGGCGUAAUGAUGGCCAGGCUGUCUCCACCCGAGACUCAGUGAAAUUGAACUCGCUGUGAAGAUGCAGUGUACCCGCGGCAAGACGGAAAGACCCCGUGAACCUUUACUAUAGCUUGACACUGAACAUUGAGCCUUGAUGUGUAGGAUAGGUGGGAGGCUUAGAAGUGUGGACGCCAGUCUGCAUGGAGCCGACCUUGAAAUACCACCCUUUAAUGUUUGAUGUUCUAACGUUGACCCGUGAUCCGGGUUGCGGACAGUGUCUGGUGGGUAGUUUGACUGGGGCGGUCUCCUCCUAAAGAGUAACGGAGGAGCACGAAGGUUGGCUAAUCCUGGUCGGACAUCAGGAGGUUAGUGCAAUGGCAUAAGCCAGCUUGACUGCGAGCGUGACGGCGCGAGCAGGUGCGAAAGCAGGUCAUAGUGAUCCGGUGGUUCUGAAUGGAAGGGCCAUCGCUCAACGGAUAAAAGGUACUCCGGGGAUAACAGGCUGAUACCGCCCAAGAGUUCAUAUCGACGGCGGUGUUUGGCACCUCGAUGUCGGCUCAUCACAUCCUGGGGCUGAAGUAGGUCCCAAGGGUAUGGCUGUUCGCCAUUUAAAGUGGUACGCGAGCUGGGUUUAGAACGUCGUGAGACAGUUCGGUCCCUAUCUGCCGUGGGCGCUGGAGAACUGAGGGGGGCUGCUCCUAGUACGAGAGGACCGGAGUGGACGCAUCACUGGUGUUCGGGUUGUCAUGCCAAUGGCACUGCCCGGUAGCUAAAUGCGGAAGAGAUAAGUGCUGAAAGCAUCUAAGCACGAAACUUGCCCCGAGAUGAGUUCUCCCUGAGACUAUAAGUCUCCUGAAGGAACGUUGAAGACGACGACGUUGAUAGGCCGGGUGUGUAAGCGCAGCGAUGCGUUGAGCUAACCGGUACUAAUGAACCGUGAGGCUUAACCUU